Molecule: ribosomal RNA, 253 nt
Filed under: uncultured bacterium
Lineage: Bacteria
Description: partial 16S ribosomal RNA
Rfam family: Bacterial small subunit ribosomal RNA
Source: RNAcentral
UACGGAGGGUGCGAGCGUUAAUCGGAAUUACUGGGCGUAAAGCGCACGUAGGCGGUCAGAUAAGUAGGAUGUGAAAGCCCUGGGCUUAACCUGGGAACUGCAUUCGAUACUGUCUGGCUAGAGUAUGGGAGAGGGAAGCGGAAGUUCCGGUGUAGCGGUGAAAUGCGUAGAUAUCGGAAGGAACACCAAUGGCGAAGGCAGAUUCCUGGUCCAAUACUGACGCUCAGGUGCGAAAGCGUGGGGAUCAAACAGG